Molecule: non-coding RNA, 92 nt
Organism: Cytospora paraplurivora
Lineage: Eukaryota; Fungi; Ascomycota; Sordariomycetes; Diaporthales; Cytosporaceae
Source: the annotation of a GenBank genome assembly
GGGCUGUUGGCGCAAUGGCUAGCGUUCUAGUUUCCGAGAUAUCAGAGAUUAGAAGUUACUAGAGGUUCUGGGUUCGAGUCCCAGGCAGCCCU